GACGAACGCGGCGGCGUGCCUAAUACAUGCAAGUAGAACGCACAGUUUAUACCGUAGCUUGCUACACCAUAGACUGUGAGUUGCGAACGGGUGAGUAACGCGUAGGUAACCUGCCUGGUAGCGGGGGAUAACUAUUGGAAACGAUAGCUAAUACCGCAUAAUAUUAAUUAUUGCAUGAUAAUUAAUUGAAAGGUGCAAUUGCACCACUACCAGAUGGACCUGCGUUGUAUUAGCUAGUAGGUGAGGUAACGGCUCACCUCGGCGACGAUACAUAGCCGACCUGAGAGGGUGAUCGGCCACACUGGGACUGAGACACGGCCCAGACUCCUACGGGAGGCAGCAGUAGGGAAUCUUCGGCAAUGGACGAAAGUCUGACCGAGCAACGCCGCGUGAGUGAAGAAGGUUUUCGGAUCGUAAAGCUCUGUUGUAAGAGAAGAACGGGUGUGAGAGUGGAAAGUUCACACUGUGACGG
This 472-nucleotide ribosomal RNA is filed under the name Streptococcus gordonii. RNAcentral's name for it is "bacterial SSU rRNA". It matches the Rfam family "Bacterial small subunit ribosomal RNA", at positions 28 to 475 of the family's 1533-position model. Lineage: Bacteria; Bacillati; Bacillota; Bacilli; Lactobacillales; Streptococcaceae. The record is from RNAcentral.